AGAGUUUGAUCCUGGCUCAGAUUGAACGCUGGCGGCAUGCUUUACACAUGCAAGUCGAGCGGCAGCGCGGGGGCAACUCUGGCGGCGAGCGGCGAACGGGUGAGUAAUGCAUCGGAACGUGUCCCGGAGUGGGGGAUAACGCCGCGAAAGCGGCGCUAAUACCGCAUAUGCUCUGAGGAGGAAAGUGGGGGCUUCGCAAGGACCUCAUGCUCUGGGAGCGGCCGAUGUCCGAUUAGCUUGUUGGUGGGGUAAUGGCUUACCAAGGCGACGAUCGGUAGCUGGUCUGAGAGGAUGAUCAGCCACACUGGGACUGAGACACGGCCCAGACUCCUACGGGAGGCAGCAGUGGGGAAUUUUGGACAAUGGGGGCAACCCUGAUCCAGCCAUGCCGCGUGCGGGAAGAAGGCCUUCGGGUUGUAAGCCGCUUUUGGCCGGGAAGAAAAGGCUGAGGUUAAUACCUUCGGUUUUGACGGUACCGGCAGAUCAGACC
This 490-nucleotide ribosomal RNA is filed under the name uncultured Caldimonas sp. RNAcentral's name for it is "bacterial SSU rRNA". It matches the Rfam family "Bacterial small subunit ribosomal RNA", at positions 8 to 492 of the family's 1533-position model. The record is from RNAcentral. Lineage: Bacteria; Pseudomonadati; Pseudomonadota; Betaproteobacteria; Burkholderiales; Sphaerotilaceae.